RNAcentral lists this ribosomal RNA (268 nucleotides) under uncultured prokaryote. RNAcentral describes it as "partial 16S ribosomal RNA". It matches the Rfam family "Bacterial small subunit ribosomal RNA", at positions 524 to 792 of the family's 1533-position model. The record is from RNAcentral.
UACGUAGGGGCGAGCGUUGUCCGGAAUUAUUGGGCGUAAAGAGCGCGCAGGUGGUUGAUUAAGUCUGAUGUGAAAGCCCACGGCUUAACCGUGGAGGGUCAUUGGAAACUGGUCGACUUGAGUGCAGAAGAGGGAAGUGGAAUUCCAUGUGUAGCGGUGAAAUGCGUAGAGAUAUGGAGGAACACCAGUGGCGAAGGCGGCUUCCUGGUCUGUAACUGACACUGAGGCGCGAAAGCGUGGGGAGCAAACAGGAUUAGAUACCCCGGUA